Molecule: long non-coding RNA, 2979 nt
Filed under: Haliotis rufescens (red abalone)
Lineage: Eukaryota; Metazoa; Mollusca; Gastropoda; Lepetellida; Haliotidae
Description: uncharacterized LOC124142028
Source: RNAcentral
ACUGGGCAAACUGGGAUUCGGGACAAUGAUGCAACGCAAGUCCUGAAAAGGACAAUUUGAUUUUCGAUAAACAUGCUCGGGUAAUUAUUGAUUCUUUUCAUGGAACGCUCUACCUAAUCUCAGAGUUUGAUGUACUGCAUUAAGCCGCCCAUCAGACAGCACCCAACCUCUCGCAACAGUAGCGGUGGUGUUGGGCAUGGAUGUACCGAGAUGUAGGGAAGGAGUGGUUUCCUCUCCACUUUGUUCCACACCUUUCAGACGCAUUGACUUGUCAGAUGAAGUUUCACUAUCUAGCUUGACUGAUUUCAACACAUAUGGUUUUCGCGAUCACGGGCCGUUGUGUGUGCCUGACUAGGUGUUUGCUGCCGUGAUCCAAUCGAUCGACUGGGGCCUCGCUGUCUCAUAGCUGGCUUCGGAACGAUCCUUGUGACAGAUAGGAAUAUAUGAUGGAGACAGGUGCAAGCACAUUCUUGGAGAUUGUGCCAGCCCAAUUUGUUGCUCUUGGCACAUCUACGAAGACGACAGUGGGCGCAUUGUGAUGGUGACCACAUACUCUUGAUGUCUUUGAAGCAUCAAGGGACAUCUGAGGGCUGAAAUCGACAUUGGUUUACGUCAAACUGUAGCACAACUACAAAGAAAGAAACUACUAUAAUACCCCAAGCAUUCACAGAAUGAAUUAUUUACGCCCACCACCAGUCUGACACGUUGUGCUCGUCUCAGACUUGUUCUCAAGAGUUCAACUCGGCUUAUUCUUAAUAGAUAUCCUCCCUGUUUAAGAGUGCCACCAAUGGACAACAUGUGGUUUAUGACAGAAUAUGCUGACUUAUGAUUCUUCCAGUAAAGAUAUUGAUCGAAAUGUCCUUACAGUUCCUAUUGUUGUCUUGAACAAAUAGACCUGCAAUGAAACAAUUAACCUAUCAUAAACGCAUUAUCACACUACAACAACGUGUCAGUCACCCCUCGACUUUACUGCCUGAAAUCAGACGGCUGCAACUUCAUUAAGGAGUCAACACAGAAGGCAAGACGGCAACUGUGGGACUUCAGGGAAGCUAUAGUCUGCUUCUAAUGAAAGGAAUUGACAUCAAAGUCAGAGGUAGCGCAUGCGUGCAGAUUAACAAUAAACACUGACGCGUGUUUAUUUGUUUAAUAAAUAACAAGAAAAGUAUUCCACCGGAAUACUUAUAUUUUGUACUCGUCUCAUACUUAUCUUAAAUCUAUUCCAAUGAAGAUGACAAAUAAUACCGGCGUGUCAGUACUCCUGGCAUCAAUGUUUCCAAACUGUGUGACUGCAUUGAACAAUAAUCAAAACAAAGAUCAAGUGGAAAACGUCACCAAACCUGGAACGGAAAAUUCGGAUAAUGGCGCAGUGAUCUAUAUAGUGGCUGUGUUGAUGUUUUAUUCAUUUGGGGUGGUUGUGAUGAUAGUUCAGUACCUCAGGACGGAGAAGAAGGAGCUGGAGGAGGAGGUUAACCUUGAAACCUUCUUCAAGGGAAUGCCAGACAAAAGACUUGAGAGAGAGCACAACGUGAACAAGGUAGCAAUACGAGCCUUCCACACAUUGACUUCAAUAUCCUACGAGGACAGUGAUGAUGAUACAUCUCCAAGGACGGUACUUGUAACUGACCUGUGACCAUAUUUGAGGACGAUUGUUGGGGUCAUGGUCACGAAACAAGUAAAACGAUAUGUUUAAUGGAGACAACGAAAGUUCAGCCGACUGACACUAAACUUUGUGACCAAACGAUGGGUGAGGCAUUAUGGACAUGUGCGUCUUUGGAAGUACUUAAGUGAUUCAGAUGUCUGUAGUGUUACAAUGUAGUACCAUUUCAUUUGAUAGAGUUGUCGGGACAUCUGUGGAGCUUGUUCAUGGAUAUUUUACUUACACUCACGUGUCUGUAUGUCAGUCAUUCUCUUUGUAAUAUGGUGAUGUCUUAUAUGUAAUGGACCUGAAAUUAACUCCAAAAGUGAUAGUGCUUUCCUUUUGUUGGUUUUGCUGACACUUAGAAGUAAAAUGUCUUUCUAGAAACAUAUAUCAUUCAUUUACAUUUAUUUUAUAAGCUAUAGUUAUGAGGUUGCCAUAGAAACUAAUCCGUCAAUUGAAGUAUAAAGACUGCUUAUUGUCUUAAUAUUGUCUUACACAUGCGAAAGUUGUCUUUUUAUUUAUCUGAGUACACUUUACUGAACUCCAACAUCAUGGUGUUCACCAAGAUGCAAAACAUUAUUUUUUUUAUGUUUGGAAUUAAAGCGACAAACGCUUUCCGUAAUCAUUAGAAAGCAUCCAGUCUGCUAAACGCGGAGUCCAUUGUGCAAAUCAUUCCAAUGUGUCUGUCUGAUGCUGGAUUUCAUUUAAUGCCUCGUUGCAAUAACACACAAAUGAAAGGAAAGUAGCAGUUUUGUUUCCACAACACAGCACAUCAUGUGUAAUCAUGUGUAAUCAUGUGUAAUCAUGUAUAUUCUCAAGCUCCUUUAGUUACAGGCGCAUGUACACUUCUUCAGAUAUACUCUUCUUUGGUGAAGAUGAGUCAUCAUGGCUGCAAUUCGCAGCAGUACCGUUCUUGUGUUGAAUAUUUCAGUCAAGUGUUUCAUCAUCUGUAACACCAGACGUAGCAUUAAAGAUUAAAGCAACUGCUACCAUUAGGACAACUGUAAUGUCAGUAUCGCUUUGCUUGUCUCUUCAUGUUAGUAGUCUCAAUGACUUGAAACAGAACACACAUUGUACAUCACUUUGAGGAAGGCGUACUCGCACCAAAGAGCGUAUACAUGGUAUAUUAUGACCUACAUGUAUGCUUGCACAACUUGAUAACCUUUGAGUUUUAAUGUGAUCACACGCAAGUUAGACAUGUUAAACCCAUUGUUGUGUUAAAAUUUCAGACGUGUAAAUCAUUGAUUUGAUUCUUCUGAGAUCACAUUUGAACUAAAGGCGUCAGCGUCGGAUUCGGAAUGUGUGAUAUAAAGGUGACCUUAUUAAAUAUAGGAUAACAA